Molecule: ribosomal RNA, 253 nt
Filed under: uncultured bacterium
Lineage: Bacteria
Description: partial 16S ribosomal RNA
Rfam family: Bacterial small subunit ribosomal RNA
Source: RNAcentral
UACGUAGGGUGCAAGCGUUGUCCGGAAUUAUUGGGCGUAAAGAGCUCGUAGGCGGCUCGUCACGUCGGCUGUGAAAACCCGGGGCUCAACCCCGGGCCUGCAGUCGAUACGGGCGAGCUAGAGUUCGGCAGGGGAGACUGGAAUUCCUGGUGUAGCGGUGAAAUGCGCAGAUAUCAGGAGGAACACCGGUGGCGAAGGCGGGUCUCUGGGCCGUAACUGACGCUGAGGAGCGAAAGCGUGGGGAGCGAACAGG